RNAcentral lists this long non-coding RNA (755 nucleotides) under Mytilus galloprovincialis (Mediterranean mussel). The record is from RNAcentral. Lineage: Eukaryota; Metazoa; Mollusca; Bivalvia; Mytilida; Mytilidae.
AAAAAAUUACUGCCUGUAAAUUUAGGAAUGCUUUAUAUUAGAAUAUUUACAUGUUUACAUAAAGUUGAUAGGAAUGUACAAGGAAAUAUUUACAUUUUAAGCAAUUUUAAUUCAGUUGUGAAAAUGAAAAUUGGUGACAUACAUUUAUUUAAAGAAUCAAUAAUUGAAUUACUAACAAUAAAACCUAUCAUUCAAAACAUUUUUGGCUAUAUCCUAGUAAAAAAGAUGAGAUUUAUGUGCAUAUAUGGCCUAUUUUCAAUUGAAAGCACUUACAAAUUAACACUGCUUUUUCUCUAUUAAAAAUGACGAUUUUCAAUAAUUUACUACAAACAGUAUAACUUUUUGAUAAGAUGAUAUGUUAAGUAAAGAAAUUGACCUUGUAUUACCUGAUCCCUUGGUAAUGAACUUUUUUUACUUUUUGCAAUAUAUCUCAAAGCUUUCCAAUCCCAAUUGAAUUGUCCUUAUAUUAUGUUUACAAGUAAGUAGAAAUAUAUACAUGUCAUGUAUCUGAAAAAUAACUUAUACAUUUGAUGAUAUGUACAUCACAACAUAAUAAAUUUAGUGCAAAUUAUAAAAUUCUAAUUUAAAAAUUACAAAACAAAAAGAUAAUCUUUGAUUUUUGUAAAUCAAUUUGCAAUGAAACAUGAUAUUCCCAUAAUGGCACCAUAUACAGCAACUAAUCAGUAAAUAGAAUGAUAAUAAUCCUUACAUAAGUUUGAUCAAUGUAUGCAUACAAAACAGUGAAACUGCGAGCU